RNAcentral lists this ribosomal RNA (481 nucleotides) under uncultured bacterium. Its description in RNAcentral is "partial 16S ribosomal RNA". It matches the Rfam family "Bacterial small subunit ribosomal RNA", at positions 28 to 523 of the family's 1533-position model. The record is from RNAcentral.
GACGAACGCUGGCGGCGUGCUUAACACAUGCAAGUCGAGCGGAAAGGCCACUUCGGUGGUACUCGAGCGGCGAACGGGUGAGUAACACGUGAGUAAUCUGCCCCUGGCUUUGGGAUAGCCACCGGAAACGGUGAUUAAUACCGGAUACGACCACUUCUCGCAUGGGAUGGUGGUGGAAAGUUUUUUCGGCCAGGGAUGUGCUCGCGGCCUAUCAGCUUGAUGGUGAGGUAAUGGCUCACCAUGGCUUCGACGGGUAGCCGGCCGGAGAGGGUGCGCGGUCUCGCUGGGACUGGACCACUGGCCAGACUCCUACGGGAGGCAGCGGUGGGGAAUAUUGGGCAAUGGGCGGAAGCCUGAUCCAGCAACGCCGCGUGAGGGAUGACGGCCUUCGGGUUGUAAACCUCUUUCAGCAGGGACGAAGCGCAAGUGACGGUACCUGCAGAAGAAGCACCGGCCAACUACGUGCCAGCCGCCGCCGUAA